AUGCCCAGGGCAUCUACCCAGAGGCAUUCUCCCCCCAAAUCUGCAGGUUUGGAGGUGCGGGGGGGGGGCAGAAGAUCUAUUGUGAGGAAGCCAAGAAGCAGAUGUCUGCCUCCCCUGCUCCCUCCCACAGGGCAAGGAUGUGAAACUAACCCAGAGUGGACGGUGAAGUGCAACUGCCGGGUGUUCUUCCAGUUCUGGAGAAUGCACAGCUUCCUGCUCAAUGCCAGCUGGACCUUCUUCCUAGAGAGAAGCAACUGCUGUCGGACACAUUGCUGGGGAAAGCCAGACAUGAGCCUCCUUCAGCACCGGACACAGCCUAGGAUCCUGCUGGGCUCAGGACCUCCCCUCCCAUCUCUAGUCCCACGAGGAAUGUUUGUUCCCGUUCUCUGCUGGGGGAGUUUUUUCAUGGCGGGGCCUCAUCCUCGACGAAGCUGUGGGACUCAGAGCCAGGCUCUGUGUGGCCCGACGAUCCUGCUGACCCUGGCCUCCUGCAGACCAUGGGCCGCCAUACCCCUGGCCGCAUUUCCAGCUUUUCAAGUGGGAAGAAACCACCCCGUGUCCCAGGACUUGCACUUCUGUGGGCCAUCCUCAGCAAGGUUCGGAGUCAGUGGGGGUGGGCAGCGGCUCAGCCAUGAAGAAGCCGAGAAGCGAUGUCUGCCUCCCCUCCUCCCUCCCAGAAGAUCUGGAUGUGAAACUAACCCAGAGUGGACGCUGAAGCUCAGCUGCCAAGUAAUCUCCCAUUCCCGGAGAGACUGCACAGCUUCCUGCUCAAUGCCAGCUGGGCCUUCAUCCUGGAGAGGAGCAACUGGCAGCUCUGUGUGAAAGCUUCUGCUUUCAUGGAGCAGAAUUGCUGUUUGGGGGCUGGGGAUGACUGGAGUCCUGCAGGACUUUACCAGGUAACAGCACUGUCCCUCGUGCCCUCAUAG
Molecule: long non-coding RNA, 926 nt
Filed under: Oryctolagus cuniculus (rabbit)
Lineage: Eukaryota; Metazoa; Chordata; Mammalia; Lagomorpha; Leporidae
Description: lncRNA (ENSOCUG00000033680.1)
Source: RNAcentral